This 340-nucleotide long non-coding RNA is filed under the name Coturnix japonica (Japanese quail). RNAcentral describes it as "lncRNA (ENSCJPG00005007809.1)". Lineage: Eukaryota; Metazoa; Chordata; Aves; Galliformes; Phasianidae. The record is from RNAcentral.
AUAGCCUUCUAUGAUGAUGAAUGUAUUUUUAGGUGGUGAUUCUAUUCUGAGUUGUACUUAAGACUGCAAACUGGUGUCACUGAUGCCACAGUUGCCUUCAAAAUGUCUUGAAGAUUACCUAUAAUGCAGUGUUCAGAAGGAGGAGAGAUUCAGCACAGGGAUUUCUGGUGGAAGAGGCUCUGCCAGUUGGAAGCUGCAAAACAGUGGCCAACAGCUAAAACAUACAAUGAAGCCAUCAAGUUUUCAUCUUCAUUGUGAGAAAGAUGGAGCAAGACCUCCCUAGUCAUCUCUGUAUUAAUGUCACUGCUGUGAUAUCAAACUCAUCAUAAGGAGAUUAAAU